RNAcentral lists this ribosomal RNA (399 nucleotides) under uncultured bacterium. Its description in RNAcentral is "bacterial SSU rRNA". It matches the Rfam family "Bacterial small subunit ribosomal RNA", at positions 358 to 773 of the family's 1533-position model. The record is from RNAcentral.
GGAAUAUUGCACAAUGGGCGAAAGCCUGAUGCAGCAACGCCGCGUGCGCGAUGAAGGCCUUCGGGUUGUCAAGCGCUUUUCUGGGGGAAGAGUAAGGACGGUACCCCAGGAAUAAGUCUCGGCUAACUACGUGCCCGCACCCGCGGUAAAACGUAGGCGGCAAGCGGUAUCCGGAUUUACUGGGCGUAAAGGGCGUGCAGGCGGCUUGGUAAGUCGGACGUGAAAGCUCCCGGCUCAACUGGGAGAGGCCGUUCGAAACUACCAGGCUAGAGGGCAGCAGAGGGAGGUGGAAUUCCGGGUGUAGCGGUGAAAUGCGUAGAUAUCCGGAGGAACACCAGUGGCGAAAGCGGCCUCCUGGACUGUCCCUGACGCUAAGACGCGAAAGCUAGGGGAGCGAAC